Molecule: long non-coding RNA, 1119 nt
Filed under: Olea europaea (common olive)
Lineage: Eukaryota; Viridiplantae; Streptophyta; Magnoliopsida; Lamiales; Oleaceae
Description: long non-coding RNA (OEUR_LNC001552)
Source: RNAcentral
GAUCUAGCUCGUGAAAAAAGUAAGUAUUGUACAUACGCGAGUGGCCUUCCUGUCUCAUGAAUGCCAAGAACUCGUGCAGCUGAACACGUCCAUCACCAUUCAUGUCAAGUGAUUUGAAGAAUUCAUAUGCCAGGGUUUGAACUUCUGGAGAGCCAGCUCUGUAGUGCGCUCUCGCAAUUUCACGCAAUUCUUCCAUCUUUGGAGAGCUAGCUCUUUAGAACAAUUGUUGAAUAUUUGUUCAAAAUCAAUGAAAUAAUAAAGGGCUAAUUGUUAGACAUAAUUGUGGAAUUAGUGGAAUCAAAAGAAAUUGAAAAUGGAAAAUUUGAUUUUUGUCUAUGCCUAUGCGUAUGCAUAGGCUUAUUUUUGUGCAUAUAAGAGAUGUGUUUUGACCAAAACAAAAUCAAAUUUACUUUUACUAUGCAUACACAUAGUGUUAAAAAAUAGUCAACGGUUGGUUUUUCAAUUUGAAACUUGGGAACCGUUUCGAAUUAAAAGUUGUCACUUUUCAUCAUGUUUUGACAGCAUUUCGUGGUGUAUUGAUUGAGGCCUAUAUAGGUGAUAAAUGAUCAAUACAAACUAUUAGAUUUUGAGUUGGCAAUUCUGUGAACAAAAGGGUCAAAUUGUAAUUGUUCAAAAGUUUGGGGUCAAUUUGUCAAUGUUUAAAAGUUAGGGAUCAAUUUGUACAUGUUUGAAAAAUGGGGACUAAGUUGCAAUUUUGUCAAAGUAUGUUAGGGUUCGAGUUGUGAAGUAUGGCAAGAUGUAUCAUUGAGGUUUCACUAGCUGCACGCCAAGUGGUCGCUCGAGUGUCGAAAGCAAAGAGCCUCUCGCUCGCUUUUCGUCCCUACCUCACUUUUUCCUCGAGCAAUAAUGUUGCCUGGAGAACCCUAUUUUGCCUUUUUCGAGAUUUUGACCUGACCCAUAUGACCCAAAACAUCUCAUAUAAAUUGUGUUGUUUCAGACGUUUGUUAAGGAUUGAACUUGAAGAAAAUUCUCUACAUCUGGAAUCUUCCUCUCAAUCCCACAUUCGAUUAGUGCAAUAACUUAAUAACAUCAAAUCUACCUUUAUCAAACACUGUAACACAUCCUUCCAGAGCAUUUAUUGAAUCUUGAAGAUCANNN